RNAcentral lists this ribosomal RNA (160 nucleotides) under Rhynchosporium secalis (leaf blotch of barley). RNAcentral describes it as "5.8S ribosomal RNA". It matches the Rfam family "5.8S ribosomal RNA". Rfam says of the family: 5.8S ribosomal RNA (5.8S rRNA) is a component of the large subunit of the eukaryotic ribosome. It is transcribed by RNA polymerase I as part of the 45S precursor that also contains 18S and 28S rRNA. The record is from RNAcentral. Lineage: Eukaryota; Fungi; Ascomycota; Leotiomycetes; Helotiales; Ploettnerulaceae. RNAcentral also lists the same sequence under 3 other names.
UAAAACUUUCAACAACGGAUCUCUUGGUUCUGGCAUCGAUGAAGAACGCAGCGAAAUGCGAUAAGUAAUGUGAAUUGCAGAAUUCAGUGAAUCAUCGAAUCUUUGAACGCACAUUGCGCCCUCUGGUAUUCCGGGGGGCAUGCCUGUUCGAGCGUCAUUA